AAACAUUUGAAAGGAGGUGAUCCAGUGCAUCAUGAGGUAUUGGAGAAGUGUGUCGGGACAACUUAUGGGGGUCACAGCUAGGGCAGCCCUUGGCUGAGAACACCAUAAGGUGGGCAACCUAACCGACCCGCCUCCGUAAUUCAGGAAGGGGCCAUCCAUCACCGGGUGGCCCU
RNAcentral lists this small RNA (173 nucleotides) under Yoonia sediminilitoris. RNAcentral's name for it is "caulobacter sRNA CC2171". The record is from RNAcentral. Lineage: Bacteria; Pseudomonadati; Pseudomonadota; Alphaproteobacteria; Rhodobacterales; Paracoccaceae.